UGGGGAUAUUGGACAAUGGGGGCGAACCCGAUCCAGCAAAGCCGCGUGUGUGAAGAAGGCCUUCGGUUGUAAGACACUUUAUCGGAACGCGGUACCGGAGGAAUAAGCACCGCUAACUUCGUGCCAGCAGCCGCGGUAAUACGAAGGGUGCAAGCGUUAAUCGGAAUUACUGGGCGUAAAGGGUGCGUAGGCGGUUACUUGAGUCUGUUGUGAAAGCCCUGGGCUUAACCUGGGAAUAGCAAUGGAUACUGGGUGCUGGAGUCGUAGAGGAUGGCGGAAUUCCCGGUGUAGCAGUGAAAUGCGUAGAGAUCGGGAGGAACAUCAGUGGCGAGGCGGCCAUCUGGGCCGUACUGACGCUGAGGCACGAAAGCGUGGGGAGC
This 380-nucleotide ribosomal RNA is filed under the name uncultured bacterium. RNAcentral describes it as "bacterial SSU rRNA". It matches the Rfam family "Bacterial small subunit ribosomal RNA", at positions 356 to 769 of the family's 1533-position model. The record is from RNAcentral.